UACAGAGGGGGCAAGCGUUGUUCGGAAUUACUGGGCGUAAAGGGCGCGUAGGCGGCCUGCUAAGUCGAACGUGAAAUCCCCGGGCUCAACCUGGGAACUGCAUCUGUGACUGCAUCGCUGGAGUACGGUAGAGGGGGAUGGAAUUCCGCGUGUAGCAGUGAAAUGCGUAGAUAUGCGGAGGAACACCGAUGGCGAAGGCAAUCCCCUGGACCUGUACUGACGCUCAUGCACGAAAGCGUGGGGAGCAAACAGG
Molecule: ribosomal RNA, 253 nt
Filed under: uncultured bacterium
Lineage: Bacteria
Description: partial 16S ribosomal RNA
Rfam family: Bacterial small subunit ribosomal RNA
Source: RNAcentral